This 407-nucleotide ribosomal RNA is filed under the name uncultured bacterium. Its description in RNAcentral is "partial 16S ribosomal RNA". It matches the Rfam family "Bacterial small subunit ribosomal RNA", at positions 28 to 526 of the family's 1533-position model. The record is from RNAcentral.
GACGAACGCUGGCGGCGCGCUUAACACAUGCAAGUCGAGCGAAGCGGCGGACGGGUGAGUAACCCGUGAGUAACCUGCCUUAGACAUUGGGAUAGCCUCGGGAAACCGGGCUUAAUACCAAAUGGUCUAAGAUGGACUCGCGUCCCAUUCGCUAGUUGGUGAGGUAACGGCCCACCAAGGCGACGAUGGGUAGCCGGCCGGAGAGGUGGAACGGACACAGUGGAACUGAGAAACGGUCCAAACUCUACGGGAGGCAGCAGUGGGGAAUAUUGCACAAUGGAGGGAACGCUGAUGCAGCGACGCCGCGUGUACGAAGAAGGCUUUCGAGUCGUAAAGUUCUUUUAUAUGGGAAGCGGUACCAUAAGAAAAAGCCCCGGCUAACUACGUGCCAGCAGCCGCGGUAAUUC